UAGACCAAAGCUCGCCGGUUUGGGCAGCUAGCUGUUAAUUAGUUUUUGUAGGAUCGAGGCCUGCUGGUCUAG
RNAcentral lists this transfer RNA (72 nucleotides) under Vipera latastei ebusitana. Its description in RNAcentral is "tRNA-Asn". It matches the Rfam family "tRNA". Rfam says of the family: Transfer RNA (tRNA) molecules are approximately 80 nucleotides in length. Their secondary structure includes four short double-helical elements and three loops (D, anti-codon, and T loops). Further hydrogen bonds mediate the characteristic L-shaped molecular structure. tRNAs have two regions of fundamental functional importance: the anti-codon, which is responsible for specific mRNA codon recognition, and the 3' end, to which the tRNAs corresponding amino acid is attached (by aminoacyl-tRNA synthetases). tRNAs cope with the degeneracy of the genetic code in two manners: having more than one tRNA (with a specific anti-codon) for a particular amino acid; and 'wobble' base-pairing, i.e. permitting non-standard base-pairing at the 3rd anti-codon position. The record is from RNAcentral. Lineage: Eukaryota; Metazoa; Chordata; Lepidosauria; Squamata; Viperidae.